CCUACGGGAGGCAGCAGUGAGGAAUAUUGCACAAUGGGCGCAACCCUGAUCCAGCCACGCCGCGUGAAUGAAGACGGAUCUCGGUAUUUUAAGCUCUAUCUGCAGGGAAGAAAAUGCCGGUACGUGACUCAGAAUCCCCGGCUAACUACGUGCCAGCAGCCGCGGUAAUACGUCGGCGGCCAGCGUUAUCCGGAUUUAUUGGGUGUAAAGGGAGCGUAGAGGGUAUGACAAGUCUGAAGUGAAAGCCCGCGGCUCAACUGUGGGACUGCUUUUGAAACUGCCCGGCUAGAGUGCUGGAGAGGUAGGCGGAAUUCCUAGUGUAGCGGUGAAAUGCGUAGAUAUCAGGAGGAACACCAGUGGCGAAGGCGGCUUACUGGACAGUAACUGACGUUGAGGCUCGAAAGCGUGGGGAGCAAACAGGAUUAGAUACCCCGGUAGUC
RNAcentral lists this ribosomal RNA (440 nucleotides) under uncultured bacterium. RNAcentral describes it as "partial 16S ribosomal RNA". It matches the Rfam family "Bacterial small subunit ribosomal RNA", at positions 338 to 795 of the family's 1533-position model. The record is from RNAcentral.